CUUUUUGGUUGCUAAUAUGUAAAAGUAAAAAAGGUUUUACAUUGCAUAUUGAUGUUAGAUCCUCCAACUUCGUUGAACAUCUUUUUAUAUUUAUUUGAUUCUUUAAAAUUUAGCACAUGAACAAAUAUCCCAUGAGUGAAUAGAGACAGGUCUUCCUUUUCAAUCUGCAUGUCUUUACUUUUCAUUGCACUGGCUAGUACAAUGAAUAGCCGUGUGACUGUGUCAUCUUUGCCUGUUCCCCAGUCCUAGGGAGUGAUAAUGAGCUGCAGAAUUUCUUUGAUUCCUAGUUUAUUCUUAGUUUUUUUUAUCAUGAAGGAGAGGAUUUUUAUUAUAUUAUAUGCUGUUACAUUUGGCUGUGAUUCUUUAUUAACAGGGCAUAUCACCGUAUCGAUUUUUGGAUAUUAAGCCAACCUUGUAUUCCUAGAGCCAACUAUAGUUGCUUGUGAAUCACCACCCUGAAUGAAAUACUCAUUAGCUGUCAUUUGCUAACCCAUCCUCUUGGUCCCAGAUGACUCUCAAUCUUCUUUCUGCCUCUAUGGACUUGCCCAUGCUGGACAUUGCACUUGAGUGAAAUCAAGUGAUAUGUGGCCUCUUGGGACCAGCUUUCUUCCAGUUAAGAAACAUUUUAGAGAGAGAAGG
This is a long non-coding RNA of Ochotona curzoniae (black-lipped pika), 639 nucleotides long. RefSeq lists it as uncharacterized. Lineage: Eukaryota; Metazoa; Chordata; Mammalia; Lagomorpha; Ochotonidae. The transcript has 3 exons. The record is from RefSeq and is a predicted model, not a curated record.